GAUGAACGCUGGCGGCGUGCCUAACACAUGCAAGUCGAGCGAAAAGACCACUAGCUUGCUCCUCUGACGUUAGCGGCGGACGGGUGAGUAACACGACGUUCACCUGCCUAUAAGACUGGGUUAGCUUAGGGAAACCGAUGCUAAUACGGAAUAAUAUCUGCAACCGCAGGGUUCAAUAGUUACAGACGGUUUUGCUGUCCUUUAUAGAUGGCUCCGGGCCGCUUUGGCUGGUUGGUAAGGUAACGGCUUACGAAGGCGACAAUGGGUAGCCGACCUGCUAGCGUGUACGGCCACAGUGGAAGUGAGCCACGGUCCAGAGUCCUACGGGAGGCAGCAGUAGCGAAGCGUCGGCACUGGGCGGAAUCCUGACGGAGGAGCGGAGCGUGAGUGAUGAAGGGCUUCGGAUCGUAAAACUGUGUUCGUAGGGAAGAACAAAUGUGUCAGUAGCUAUGCACGUCUUGACGGUACCUGAUCAGAAAGCACCGGCUAACUACGUG
This 497-nucleotide ribosomal RNA is filed under the name uncultured bacterium. RNAcentral's name for it is "partial 16S ribosomal RNA". It matches the Rfam family "Bacterial small subunit ribosomal RNA", at positions 28 to 507 of the family's 1533-position model. The record is from RNAcentral.